RNAcentral lists this ribosomal RNA (477 nucleotides) under uncultured Comamonadaceae bacterium. RNAcentral's name for it is "bacterial SSU rRNA". It matches the Rfam family "Bacterial small subunit ribosomal RNA", at positions 8 to 481 of the family's 1533-position model. Lineage: Bacteria; Pseudomonadati; Pseudomonadota; Betaproteobacteria; Burkholderiales; Comamonadaceae. The record is from RNAcentral.
AGAGUUUGAUCCUGGCUCAGAUUGAACGCUGGCGGAAUGCUUUACACAUGCAAGUCGAACGGCAGCACGGGGGCAACCCUGGUGGCGAGUGGCGAACGGGUGAGUAAUACAUCGGAACGUGCCCAGUCGUGGGGGAUAACGUAGCGAAAGCUACGCUAAUACCGCAUACGAUCUACGGAUGAAAGCGGGGGAUCGCAAGACCUCGCGCGAUUGGAGCGGCCGAUGGCAGAUUAGGUAGUUGGUGGGGUAAAGGCUCACCAAGCCUGCGAUCUGUAGCUGGUCUGAGAGGACGACCAGCCACACUGGGACUGAGACACGGCCCAGACUCCUACGGGAGGCAGCAGUGGGGAAUUUUGGACAAUGGGCGCAAGCCUGAUCCAGCCAUUCCGCGUGCAGGAUGAAGGCCUUCGGGUUGUAAACUGCUUUUGUACGGAACGAAAAGGCUCCCUCUAAUACAGGGGGCUCAUGACGUACCGU